Long non-coding RNA from Eucalyptus grandis, 1264 nucleotides. RefSeq lists it as uncharacterized. The transcript has 2 exons. The record is from RefSeq and is a predicted model, not a curated record. NCBI's taxonomy places the organism in Eukaryota, Viridiplantae, Streptophyta, Magnoliopsida, Myrtales, Myrtaceae.
CUCUUGAACCCUCUUUUGCCUUUUCCCUUGUUUCGUUUGUUCUACUGUCACUAAUCCUUGUUGAGUCCUCUCUUUUCUUCCUAACAGUUUCUCAAGUUCUUCACGCUGGUCUGCAUCUUGGGUCUUGCCAGUUACCCUUCAUUUCUUUCUCUUCCUGCUCUCUCUCUCUCUCUCUCUCGCUAGGGUUUGAAGAUCUGCGAGGGUUUCAUGUGGUGAUAUUGAAGUUAUUCUUGAUUUCUCUGGUUUUGACUGGUUUCUAGGGUUAGCGUGUGAAGAGAGCGGGGAUUGGUGUAGAGGGAGUCUGGAGCUCCUUUAAGUCCGAUAGAGGUUCUUGGCUGGGUGAGUUGAGCUGCUGGUCUAUGGAUCCCACACUCCUAUCCCAUUAAAUCCAUUCAUUCGCGAACGAAUGCCCCAAAAGAGAAGGAAAAAAAGAGAUGAAGAAGACACAAAGAAGGAAGAAAAGUUGGGAUAGGCUUGUGGCUUGCAUAUGCCAGGAGCUUCACUUGCCCUUUUUGGUCUGAAUCCUUUUUUGGAUUGAAGGGAGCUCUACACUUCUUUCGUAAUCUUCCACCUCUCUCUCUCUCUCUCUCUCUCUCUCUCAUGAGAUAAUCUUGGUGACUUUUUGGCUUGAUGAUCUAUUUUUUCAUCGUGUUAAUCUUUCGGCAGUAGAUUUUCAUGGCGUUUAUCAGAUCUGGUUCUUUAAACCGAAGAGAUAGUCGGAAAAACAUUUUAGUCGCCCUCUUUUGUAUUGGAGUUUUCGCAAUUUUCUUUUGCCUUUUCUGGAUCUAGCCCAGUCAAAAACAUUUAUGGGAGCUGUAAAGAUUGCUUCAUGUGAGGUGUGUCCUGAACGAUGACUGGGCAUGCUGCUCCUUCCUAGAUACUCUCGCAUGAUGUCUGUGUAACUGUUAACUGACCGUUCUUGUGUCCUAGCCAAUGGGGUUUCUUUGAAUGAACGUUUUUCUGGAUCCCGUCUCAGGAUCCUCAGAUCUGGGUUCGAUUUAGUCAGAGCUUCGAGCAGGAAUGGAUGAUCUUGAAGAUGCAGGAACUCCAGUUGGAGGAUUUUGAAGUGUAUUUAUUGAUAGAAAAAUGUCUGUUUUUAAGCCGUUUGGCAGACAGAGAGAGUUGUCCUUUUGAAGCUUGUGCGAUUAUGUUGUAAGGGUGAAGUCUUUCGCAUUUUUUAGAGGCAAUGUAGACUUGUAAUAUGACGACCUUGAAUUUAAGAUUUGUGACGCAUUUAAGUGAUGAUACAAGUGAAGUGCCCUAA